UUCCUAGUGGUCUAGUGGUUAGGAUUGGGUACUUCCAUUGCUGUGGCCCGGGUUCAAUCCCUGGCUGGGGAA
This 72-nucleotide transfer RNA is filed under the name Ovis aries (sheep). It matches the Rfam family "tRNA". From Rfam's summary of the family: Transfer RNA (tRNA) molecules are approximately 80 nucleotides in length. Their secondary structure includes four short double-helical elements and three loops (D, anti-codon, and T loops). Further hydrogen bonds mediate the characteristic L-shaped molecular structure. tRNAs have two regions of fundamental functional importance: the anti-codon, which is responsible for specific mRNA codon recognition, and the 3' end, to which the tRNAs corresponding amino acid is attached (by aminoacyl-tRNA synthetases). tRNAs cope with the degeneracy of the genetic code in two manners: having more than one tRNA (with a specific anti-codon) for a particular amino acid; and 'wobble' base-pairing, i.e. permitting non-standard base-pairing at the 3rd anti-codon position. Lineage: Eukaryota; Metazoa; Chordata; Mammalia; Artiodactyla; Bovidae. The record is from Rfam by way of RNAcentral.